AGCAAAAUGAGGAGCUCAAAUGAUCUGAAGUAUCUAUGUUGAUACAUCCAUUCAUGGUCUUCAAAGUUCUCUGAUUGCU
This is a small nucleolar RNA of Dichanthelium oligosanthes, 79 nucleotides long. It matches the Rfam family "Small nucleolar RNA R160". Rfam says of the family: snoR160 is a C/D box small nucleolar RNA, which acts as a methylation guide for 25S ribosomal RNA in plants. snoR160 has been alternatively named snoZ270 in rice. Lineage: Eukaryota; Viridiplantae; Streptophyta; Magnoliopsida; Poales; Poaceae. The record is from Rfam.